This is a long non-coding RNA of Lagopus muta (rock ptarmigan), 620 nucleotides long. RefSeq lists it as uncharacterized. The transcript has 4 exons. NCBI's taxonomy places the organism in Eukaryota, Metazoa, Chordata, Aves, Galliformes, Phasianidae. The record is from RefSeq and is a predicted model, not a curated record.
UUGGCUCCACCCCCUCCCUGCCCAUAUUUAAGGGCUGGGAACAGACAGGGCAGCAUUCUGCUUGGGAGCUGCCUCCUUGGGAGCAUUGGGAGCGAGUUCUGCCCUUUGGAAUGGGGUCCAUCAGCAGAAGGAGCAGCAACUGCACCUGGAGACUGCUUCCUUUAGAGUGUGGGGUGAACCCUUGAAACUGGGGCUGUGGCCUUUCCUGUUUUUGGGGCAUCCUGACCACACUGAAGUGCUGGCAGAUGUAAGGGCAGCAUUGAUCUCUGGAGACUGUCUCCUGUGGAGCAGGGGGCUGUUAUGCACUGCUUCCAACCAUGCAGAGUUGUUUAAGGGCAUUCUGUGCACCCUUAGGUGUAAUAAAUCUUUAUAGAAAGCCAAGGAUUGUCCUCUUCUGGACUGCUGUAUUCAGCAUCACCCCAGCAUGAUGCAGUGAAGCCCCUGGUCUGCUGAAUACUGGGACUGGCCCAGAGAGGCUCUGUGACGGAUGUGGAUUAUCCCAGCUGGAGUACCUGGUACUAUUGGUGGUGAUCUCGUCCAACUGCCACACAACAAACAGGAACAUCCACAGCCAGAUCAGGCUGCCCAGAGGCUGACUCAGCCUCACCUUGGAAGGGACA